RNAcentral lists this ribosomal RNA (292 nucleotides) under uncultured Acidobacteriota bacterium. Its description in RNAcentral is "uncultured Acidobacteria bacterium partial 16S ribosomal RNA". Lineage: Bacteria; Pseudomonadati; Acidobacteriota. The record is from RNAcentral.
GGACUACCGGGGUUUCUAAUCCCGUUUGCUCCCCUAGCUUUCGCGCCUCAGCGUCAGUGUCGGUCCAGGAAGCCGCCUUCGCCACCGGUGUUCCUCCGGAUAUCUACGCAUUUCACCGCUACACCCGGAAUUCCGCUUCCCUCUCCCGAACUCAAGCCCGCUAGUUUCCUGUGCCGUUCCCCAGUUGAGCCGGGGGAUUUCACACAGGACUUAACGAACCGCCUACGCGCCCUUUACGCCCAGUAAUUCCGAACAACGCUUGCCACCUCUGUAUUACCGCGGCGGCUGGCAC